CCUACGGGUGGCAGCAGUGAGGAAUAUUGGUCAAUGGGCGGAAGCCUGAACCAGCCAAGUAGCGUGCAGGAUGACGGCCCUACGGGGUGUAGACUGCUUUUAUACGGGAAUAACGCGCCUUACGUGUAGGGCUUUGCAUGUACCGUAUGAAUAAGGACCGGCUAAUUCCGUGCCAGCAGCCGCGGUAAUACGGAAGGUCCGGGCGUUAUCCGGAGUUAUUGGGUUUAAAGGGAGCGUAGGCCGCAUGUCAAGCGUGCUGUGAAAGGUACGGGCUCAACCCGGGCCUUGCAGGGCGUACUGGCGUGCUUGAGGCCGCGGGAGGCAGGCGGAAUUCGUCGUGUAGCGGUGAAAUGCUUAGAUAUGACGAAGAACCCCGAUUGCGAAGGCAGCUUGCUGCAGCGGAACUGACGCUGAUGCUCGAAAGCGCGGGUAUCGAACAGGAUUAGAUACCCGUGUAGUC
RNAcentral lists this ribosomal RNA (460 nucleotides) under uncultured bacterium. RNAcentral describes it as "partial 16S ribosomal RNA". It matches the Rfam family "Bacterial small subunit ribosomal RNA", at positions 338 to 795 of the family's 1533-position model. The record is from RNAcentral.